UCGGGAAUUUUGGGCAAUGGGGGAAACCCUGACCCAGCAACGCCGCGUGAAGGAUGAAGUAUUUCGGUAUGUAAACUUCGAAAGAAUAGGAAGAAUAAAUGACGGUACUAUUUAUAAGGUCCGGCUAACUACGUGCCAGCAGCCGCGGUAAUACGUAGGGACCAAGCGUUGUUCGGAUUUACUGGGCGUAAAGGGCGCGUAGGCGGCAUGACAAGUCACUUGUGAAAUCUCUGGGCUUAACCCAGAACGGCCAAGUGAUACUGUCGCGCUAGAGUGCUUAGAAGGGGCAAUCGGAAUUCUUGGUGUAGCGGUGAAAUGCGUAGAUAUCAAGAGGAACACCUGAGGUGAAGACGGGUUGCUGGGCUGACACUGACGCUGAGGCGCGAAAGCCAGGGGAGCAAACGGGAUUAGAUACCCCAGUAGUCCCUGAGCGGGCUGGCAAGGCGCAU
Molecule: ribosomal RNA, 449 nt
Filed under: uncultured bacterium
Lineage: Bacteria
Description: bacterial SSU rRNA
Rfam family: Bacterial small subunit ribosomal RNA
Source: RNAcentral